RNAcentral lists this ribosomal RNA (658 nucleotides) under uncultured Bacilli bacterium. RNAcentral's name for it is "bacterial SSU rRNA". It matches the Rfam family "Bacterial small subunit ribosomal RNA", at positions 86 to 731 of the family's 1533-position model. Lineage: Bacteria; Bacillati; Bacillota; Bacilli. The record is from RNAcentral.
UACAAGCGAGCGGCGGACGGGUGAGUAACACGUGGGUAACCUGCCCAAGAAACUGGAUAACACCUGGAAACAGAUGCUAAUACCGGAUAACAACACUAGACGCAUGUCUAGAGUUUAAAAGAUGGUUCUGCUAUCACUCUUGGAUGGGCCUGCGGUGCAUUAGCUAGUUGGUAAGGUAACGGCUUACCAAGGCAAUGAUGCAUAGCCGAGUUGAGAGACUGAUCGGCCACAUUGGGACUGAGACACGGCCCAAACUCCUACGGGAGGCAGCAGUAGGGAAUCUUCCACAAUGGACGCAAGUCUGAUGGAGCAACGCCGCGUGAGUGAAGAAGGGUUUCGGCUCGUAAAGCUCUGUUGGUAGUGAAGAAAGAUAGAGGUAGUAACUGGCCUUUAUUUGACGGUAAUUACUUAGAAAGUCACGGCUAACUACGUGCCAGCAGCCGCGGUAAUACGUAGGUGGCAAGCGUUGUCCGGAUUUAUUGGGCGUAAAGCGAGUGCAGGCGGUUCAAUAAGUCUGAUGUGAAAGCCUUCGGCUCAACCGGAGAAUUGCAUCAGAAACUGUUGAACUUGAGUGCAGAAGAGGAGAGUGGAACUCCAUGUGUAGCGGUGGAAUGCGCUAGAUAUAUGGAAGAACACCAGUGGCGAAGGCGGCUCUCUG